This 207-nucleotide ribosomal RNA is filed under the name uncultured bacterium. RNAcentral's name for it is "partial 16S ribosomal RNA". It matches the Rfam family "Bacterial small subunit ribosomal RNA", at positions 328 to 538 of the family's 1533-position model. The record is from RNAcentral.
ACGCUCGACACCUACGGGAGGCAGCAGGUGGGGAAUAUUGCACAAUGGGGAAACCCGUGAUGCAGCGACCGCCCGCGUGGAGGAAAGGAAGGGUUCCUUCGGAUUUAGUAAACCUCCUGUUGUAGGGAAAAGAGGAUGGUACCCAAACAAGGAGUGCGCUACUACGUGCCCGCAGCCGACGGUAAUCUGAGGCGGGCUGGACAAGGC